This 663-nucleotide ribosomal RNA is filed under the name Triticum aestivum (bread wheat). RNAcentral describes it as "partial small subunit ribosomal RNA". The record is from RNAcentral. Lineage: Eukaryota; Viridiplantae; Streptophyta; Magnoliopsida; Poales; Poaceae.
CUAGCAUUUUCUUAUCUUAGUUCUCAGAGGGCACCGAGGAAUCUCGGAUGCUUCGAUGAUGAUGAGGAAAAGGUUGCAUAUCGGGAGUAUAUAUUGAAACAAACUUAUGAGGGGUCCGAGACAAAUUGCUAUGAUAAGCUACGCUUAACUAAAAGAAACUUCCAUGAUCUUUGUGCUAUGUUGCGUGAGAAGUGUGGUCUCAAAGAUAGCCCGUUUGUGACUGUAGAAGAAAAAGUUGCUAUGUUCUUACAAGUUGUUGGACAUGGACUUAAGAUGAGGAUGUUGGGUGGCACGUACCAGCGUUCUUUAGAGACCAUCAGUAGGCAUUUCUCUACUGUGUUGUCAGCCAUCCUAUCUCUAACUCGGGAGUUUAUCAAGCUUCCUGAUCCUUCUAUCACCCCUCUCGAUGAUUACAAGUGGAUGUGGUUUCCUAAUGCACUUGGAGCACUAGAUGGGUGUCAUAUUCCUGUGUUUGUUAAUGCUGCUGACAAAGGGAGGUAUAGGAAUAGGCACCAAGAUAUCACCACUUACAUGCUAAGUGUGGUUGAUUGGAACAUGAAAUUUCUCUAUGUUCUACCUUGUUUGGAGGGUUCGGCAUCGGACUCGGGAGUGCUAAAAGAUGCUAUGAGAAUUGAUCUUGAAGAUGCAUUUGUUGUACCAUAG